ACAUGGCUGAGGAGGUGUCCAGCAAGGCUGUACCAUACAGAUCACCCCCAGCCCCCCUCCCAAAUAAAUAAAUAAAAACAAGUAAGAAUUAUUUUUCAUUACAGCUGCCAUAAUACACUGGUCCAUGUGAUGAAACCUGCAAUGGCAAGAUUCAACUGCUGUGGUUCAUUCUCUGCUGUUUUCCUUCCCUGCAAAUUUUCCUUGUGAAAGGCACAGAAACAAGAUGCGUAUUCUGCAAUAACGGACAAAGAGGAGCUAGAGAAGGAAAGGGACAGAACAGAAAGUUUGACUUCAGCACCCAAAUCCUCAUAAGAAAAGUUACGCUCUAACUAAAAGGAUAAGGAAAUACAGUUAGUGUCUGGAUAACUUACUUCACUUUUAAUGUUUCUGCAAAUUCCAACAUGAACAGGCCCAAUGUAAAUCAGCUUUCCUCACUGAGCUGACGGCUAAACUACAGCAGAUGCCAGAGGAUUUUUAAACUGCACAGGUCACAUUUAGAGGCUGAUGCAGUACAAUGCUGAUAUUGUCUACUAGCUUGAUUUCAGCAUUCCCUUUGAAGGUAGAAAAGCACUUUGCAAAAGACUGAGAGAAAACAGUUCUUCACUUGUGCCCUCAGAAUAUGUUUUUAAACUACCUUUUCAUUUCUAAUGUAAAGACAAAGAAAACUAGUCACUAGAGAAUCACUAUUAAAUAUAAUAUAACAUGCA
This 707-nucleotide long non-coding RNA is filed under the name Gallus gallus (chicken). RNAcentral describes it as "long non-coding RNA NONGGAT006666". Lineage: Eukaryota; Metazoa; Chordata; Aves; Galliformes; Phasianidae. The record is from RNAcentral.